AAGCUUGAGUGUCGGAGAGGUUACUAGAAUUGUUGGUGUAGUGGUGAAAUACCUAGAUAUCAACAGGAAUACCGGAGGCGAAGGCGGGUAACUGGCCGAACACUGACACUGAGAUCCGAAAGCGUGGGGAUCAAACAGGAUUAGAUACCCUGGUAGUCCACGCCGUAAACGAUGGAUACUUGUUGUUGGAGGUAUUGACCCCUUCAGUGACGAAGCUAACGCGUUAAGUAUCCCGCCUGGGGAGUACAGGUCGCAAGAUUAAAACUCAAAGAAAUUG
RNAcentral lists this ribosomal RNA (277 nucleotides) under uncultured soil bacterium. RNAcentral describes it as "partial small subunit ribosomal RNA". It matches the Rfam family "Bacterial small subunit ribosomal RNA", at positions 638 to 912 of the family's 1533-position model. The record is from RNAcentral.